GACGAACGCUGGCGGCGUGCUUAACACAUACAAGUCGAACGGAAAGGCCCUGCUUUUGUGGGGUGCUCGAGUGGCGAACGGGUGAGUAACACGUGAGUAACCUGCCCUUGACUUUGGGAUAACUUCAGGAAACUGGGGCUAAUACCGGAUAGGAGCUCCUGCUGCAUGGUGGGGGUUGGAAAGUUUCGGCGGUUGGGGAUGGACUCGCGGCUUAUCAGCUUGUUGGUGGGGUAGUGGCUUACCAAGGCUUUGACGGGUAGCCGGCCUGAGAGGGUGACCGGCCACAUUGGGACUGAGAUACGGCCCAGACUCCUACGGGAGGCAGCAGUGGGGAAUAUUGCACAAUGGGCGGAAGCCUGAUGCAGCAACGCCGCGUGCGGGAUGACGGCCUUCGGGUUGUAAACCGCUUUCGCCUGUGACGAAGCGUGAGUGACGGUAAUGGGUAAAGAAGCACCGGCUAACUACGUG
Molecule: ribosomal RNA, 468 nt
Filed under: uncultured bacterium
Lineage: Bacteria
Description: partial 16S ribosomal RNA
Rfam family: Bacterial small subunit ribosomal RNA
Source: RNAcentral